This 497-nucleotide ribosomal RNA is filed under the name uncultured bacterium. RNAcentral's name for it is "partial 16S ribosomal RNA". It matches the Rfam family "Bacterial small subunit ribosomal RNA", at positions 28 to 507 of the family's 1533-position model. The record is from RNAcentral.
GAUGAACGCUGGCGGCGUGCCUAAUACAUGCAAGUCGAGCGAACGGACGAGAAGCUUGCUUCUCUGAUGUUAGCGGCGGACGGGUGAGUAACACGUGGAUAACCUACCUAUAAGACUGGGAUAACUUCGGGAAACCGGAGCUAAUACCGGAUAAUAUUUUGAACCGCAUGGUUCAAAAGUGAAAGACGGUCUUGCUGUCACUUAUAGAUGGAUCCGCGCUGCAUUAGCUAGUUGGUAAGGUAACGGCUUACCAAGGCAACGAUGCAUAGCCGACCUGAGAGGGUGAUCGGCCACACUGGAACUGAGACACGGUCCAGACUCCUACGGGAGGCAGCAGUAGGGAAUCUUCCGCAAUGGGCGAAAGCCUGACGGAGCAACGCCGCGUGAGUGAUGAAGGUCUUCGGAUCGUAAAACUCUGUUAUUAGGGAAGAACAUGUGUGUAAGUAACUGUGAACAUCUUGACGGUACCUAAUCAGAAAGCCACGGCUAACUACGUG